Molecule: long non-coding RNA, 1017 nt
Filed under: Oreochromis niloticus (Nile tilapia)
Lineage: Eukaryota; Metazoa; Chordata; Actinopteri; Cichliformes; Cichlidae
Description: lncRNA (ENSONIG00000039769.1)
Source: RNAcentral
CUCAUUACAUUCAGUCAAAGGUCACCUGACAAUUUGUGUUUCUCUACAGAACCAUUUCCAUCCUGGGCCACAGCUCUGCUGGUUCUCCUGGUUCUCCUGGUUCUCCUGGCUCUGCUGGUUCUCCUGGUUCUGCUGGUUCUCCUGGCUCUGCUGGUUCUCCUGGUUCCCCUGGUUCUGCUGGUUCUCCUGGUUCUGCUGGUUCUGCUGGUUCUCCUGGCUCUGCUGGUUCUCCUGGUUCCCCUGGUUCUGCUGGUUCUCCUGGUUCUGCUGGUUCUGCUGGUUCUCCUGGCUCUGCUGGUUCUCCUGGUUCUGCUGGUUCUCCUGGCUCUGCUGGUUCUCCUGGUUCCCCUGGUUCUGCUGGUUCUCCUGGUUCUGCUGGUUCUGCUGGUUCUCCUGGCUCUGCUGGUUCUCCUGGUUCCCCUGGUUCUGCUGGUUCUCCUGGUUCUGCUGGCUCUCCUGGUUGCCCUGGUUCUCCUGGUUCUCCUGGUUCUGCUGGUUCCUCUGGUUCUCCUGGCUCUCCUGGUUCUCCUGGUUCUGCUGGUUCUGCUGGUUCUCCUGGUUCUGCUGGCUCUCCUGGUUCUCCUGGUUCUGCUGGUUCCUCUGGUUCUCCUGGUUCUGCUGGUUCUCCUGGUUCUGCUGGUUCCCCUGGUUCCCCUGGUUCUGCUGGUUCCCCUGGUUCUCCUGGUCCUCCUGGUUCUCCUGGUUCUGCUGGUUCUGCUGGUUCUCCUGGUUCUGCUGGUUCUCCUGGUUCUCCUGGUUCUCCUGACACUGCUGGUUCUCCUGGUUCUCCUGGCUCUCCUGGCUCUCCAGCUUCUCCUGGUUCUCCUGGUUCUCCUUGCUCUCCUGGUUCUCCUGGUCCUCCUGGCUCUCCUGGCUCUCCUGGUUCUCCUGGUCCUCCUGGUUCUCCUGGCUCUCCUGGUUCUCCUGGUUCUGCUGGUUCUCUGGUUCUGCUGGUUCUCCUGGCUCUCCUGGUUCUGCUGUGUCUCCUACUACACUACCCAUAAUGCCGAUGGUUAG